This 30-nucleotide unclassified non-coding RNA is filed under the name Mus musculus (house mouse). RNAcentral's name for it is "oocyte_clustered_small_RNA6410". The record is from RNAcentral. Lineage: Eukaryota; Metazoa; Chordata; Mammalia; Rodentia; Muridae.
AGAGCUGGAGACCCAAACCCUUGGAGGAAC